GCGUCUUUAGUGCAGCGGUUCAGCACGCGCUCCCGGAAAGAGUGAAAUCUGAGUUCGAAUCACAGCUGACACA
Non-coding RNA from Parelaphostrongylus tenuis, 73 nucleotides. Lineage: Eukaryota; Metazoa; Nematoda; Chromadorea; Rhabditida; Metastrongylidae. The record is from the annotation of a GenBank genome assembly.